RNAcentral lists this ribosomal RNA (517 nucleotides) under uncultured Chryseobacterium sp. Its description in RNAcentral is "bacterial SSU rRNA". It matches the Rfam family "Bacterial small subunit ribosomal RNA", at positions 9 to 526 of the family's 1533-position model. The record is from RNAcentral. Lineage: Bacteria; Pseudomonadati; Bacteroidota; Flavobacteriia; Flavobacteriales; Weeksellaceae.
GAGUUUGAUCCUGGUUCAGGAUGAACGCUAGCGGGAGGCCUAACACAUGCAAGCCGAGCGGUAUUUAUUCUUCGGAAUAGAGAGAGCGGCGUACGGGUGCGUAACACGUGUGCAACCUACCUUUAUCAGGGGAAUAGCCUUUCGAAAGGAAGAUUAAUACUCCAUAAUAUAUGAACAGGCAUCUGAUUAUAUUGAAAACUCCGGUGGAUAGAGAUGGGCACGCGCAAGAUUAGAUAGUUGGUGAGGUAACGGCUCACCAAGUCUGUGAUCUUUAGGGGUCCCGAGAGGGAGAUCCCCCACACUGGUACUGAGACACGGACCAGACUCCUACGGGAGGCAGCAGUGAGGAAUAUUGGACAAUGGGUGAAAGCCUGAUCCAGCCAUCCCGCGUGAAGGAUGACGGUCCUAUGGAUUGUAAACUUCUUUUGUAUAGGGAUAAACCAUUCUACGUGUAGAAUGCUGAAGGUACUAUACGAAUAAGCACCGGCUAACUCCGUGCCAGCAGCCGCGGUAAUAC